Molecule: long non-coding RNA, 3163 nt
Organism: Chenopodium quinoa (quinoa)
Lineage: Eukaryota; Viridiplantae; Streptophyta; Magnoliopsida; Caryophyllales; Amaranthaceae
Exons: 4
Source: RefSeq, a predicted model, not a curated record
AGGUAAUAAUGCAACUGAUAGAUUGGCUAACCUAGGAGUCGUCCUUGAGGAGAGGGUGGUUUAUUUCGACGAUCACCCCAUCGAAAUAAACAACCUAAUCCGGAAGGACAUAGUUGGGGUGACAUAAAUUAAGCAAAAAAUCGUAUACUUGUAUAUAGUACUCUGUUUGGGGUGUUAAAAAAUUAGAAGAAAAGAGGGUGGGGUAUGGUAUGGUACGGUUAAUAUAGAAUAGGGGUUUAGUUAUUUGGCUAAUGACUAAAAGAGCUAUAUGAAUGAAGAAUUGAAGGAUAUUAAUAAACGUGUCCACCUACUCUAUACUUUUUUUUUUUUUUUUUUUUUUUGUGAAAACCUACUCUAUACUCUUUUCUCACUUCUAUUCUAGGGUUUUAGUUUACUAUUACUAUUAUUAUAGUAAGUAUGGUAGUACUAGUUACUUAAAAUAGAAUUAAAUUGAUUUGUAACAAGCUAAUUGGAGGUAGCACUAGUUAUUAGUUAUAAUAUAUAAUGGGCAGAUUGAUUUGUACGUAAUCAUGAAAUUUAGGAUUUAAUUGAAUCGAUUCGUUACUGAUUAAAAGAAUUGUUUAUAUCUGUAACUCUUAUAUAAGUCCGGAGUUCAUCUACUGUAGCACCAAAAAUACUCCAAAUUUACUGUUCGUUAGGAACAGGAAAAUACCACCCCUGCCCUUUGUCUCCCUUGCUGAAGCACCAAAAUUCCAGGGGUAGGAUUGUCUUUUUAGUUUCCUUCGUUACUUGGUGUCCAUGUGUUUGCUCUCUCUUCAUUCACUUUCUCUCUCCUCAAUUGAAGAGUUCUUCUUCAACUGCUCUAGACUUUCUUCAAUCGAAUCAGAGCAAAGCAAGCAAUAAAUCAAUCAUGCCUUCCACUAAUUUGCUCCUCCAAGUACCAACUUGUAUGGCUUCAAUUCUUUUGUACGGACUUUGUUAAUGAGAUCUUUUGAGGCUCGAAACUCACAAUUUGUAUGUGACCAACUGUUCUGCGAAAGAUGUCAGUUUUCCUUCUAAACAGGCGAUGCCGGAAAUUGGGAGCCAUUCAACCCGAUGAUUUGAUUAACCAGUGACCGUUACUUGUUGGAUUCGGAAGUUUUCGCCGGAGAUGAGUUGGAAUCCGCGCUAAUGUUUCCGGCGAUGGAAAGGAUGCUUGGGUUUUCGAUGGUGUUGAAACCCUUCUCUUUAAUUUACCUUAUUAUGAGCAUGGAUAUGGAUUAGGGAUGAGCUGAAUGCUUAAUCUGUUGCUGUAAAAUAUUCUUACAGUGAUGAUCGGCAUGUCAGGCAUUGGAUGGCAACCACUUAGAUUUUCUUAAAAUAGUAUCAGUAGAUGAGCUCCAAGGCCGGUCAUCCAGGCUAUCAACAUCAUGAUCAAUGAGAGGGUGUUGAUUAGGGGAAGGGGGUAUUUUGUGACCCAAUGCAUCAUAAAAAGGUUUUUCAGUAGCUUGAAGGGCUAAAGGAUCAUCUUGCUCAUCUAGCAGAUGAUUAUGCAGGACCUACCAAGCAAAUUACAGAAUUAAUUCAUGGUUAUGCUUUACAAAAUAUUAUUUUUGGAAACCAUGUUGCCCCAAAUGUAAAAAAACAUGACGGUGAAGUUGUUUCAACUUUUUAGGUGUCGCUUUCUAUGCUCCUAUGUUUUCUGUGUACCCCUUCUUAUCUAUAUGCUCUUAUAAGUUUGCUUUUCCAUGUUUGAGUAAUAAAACUUUCCUGUCAAUAAAUAUAUAAUACUAUCUUUUUUGCUACAUGAAGGCAUUGGAUGGCAACCACUUAGAUUUUCUUAAAAUAGUAUCAGUAGAUGAGCUCCAAGGCCGGUCAUCCAGGCUAUCAACAUCAUGAUCAAUGAGAGGGUGUUGAUUAGGGGAAGGGGGUAUUUUGUGACCCAAUGCAUCAUAAAAAGGUUUUUCAGUAGCUUGAAGGGCUAAAGGAUCAUCUUGCUCAUCUAGCAGAUGAUUAUGCAGGACCUACCAAGCAAAUUACAGAAUUAAUUCAUGGUUAUGCUUUACAAAAUAUUAUUUUUGGAAACCAUGUUGCCCCAAAUGUAAAAAAACAUGACGGUGAAGUUGUUUCAACUUUUUAGGUGUCGCUUUCUAUGCUCCUAUGUUUUCUGUGUACCCCUUCUUAUCUAUAUGCUCUUAUAAGUUUGCUUUUCCAUGUUUGAGUAAUAAAACUUUCCUGUCAAUAAAUAUAUAAUACUAUCUUUUUUGCUACAUGAAGGCAUUGGAUGGUGUAGUGAAAGAUGAAUUUUUUCAUGAAGAGUGGAGAACUCAGAGCUCAAUGAGUGGGCGCUAUUUUCUUGACAACCAGGAGCUCUUUCUCCCGUUGCUCCCAGUUGGGAAAUAUUAUGAUAAGUCAAUUACGGUCAGAAAUCCCAGCCAGCAACCUGUUGUAGUGCAGCUUAUACUAAACUCAAUAGAAACUGUUGAUAAUUGCAAACCUGUUAUGGUCAUCAACAGACACCUUCUGCAAGUAGCUCUACCUGUAAUGAUUCCACCAGGAUGAGUAUGUGUGGGUUUUCAGUAGCAGACGGUAUAGUUACAGAGGCCUUUCUACAUCCAAAUGGCACAGCAUGAUUGGGUCCUAUCUAUUUUCAUCCUUCAGAUAUAUGUGAAUGGAAGAGCUCGGCGUUCAUAAAGAGUAAUCUUUCUGGUCUGGAGAUAUUAUCUCUGCAUGGAUCGGGUGGAUUCUUUUCCUUAGUCUUGCUCAAGGGUUCAGAACAUGUGCAAAGAUUGGAUUUUACUAUGAACUAUCCUCUAAAUAUAUCCAACUAUGAGGAUGCUAUAUCUGCCUGUCGUAAGCCAUUAUUAAAGAAGGUCUUUGCUUUUAAUGCAGGUGAUUACCCUGUCAAUGUCAAGAGAAUAGAUGUCUCAGGAAGAGAAUGUGGAUUGGAUGGUUUUGUUGUACAUAAUUGCCAGGUUUUUUCUCUGAAACCUGGAGAAUCUUCGGAGCUUGGGCUAUCAUACCAACCGGAUCUUUCUGGGUCUGUGGUACAAAGGGAGCUCGAAUUGAUUCUAGAUGCUGGAAUACUUGUAAUACCAAUGCAAGCAAGUAUACCUCCAAAUUCACUUAAUGUAUGUGUAGAUUCCUUCUUUUGGUCUCCUGUAAAAUGUUGCUUGGCAAUCGGUUUUGUCAUAAUCUUACUCUCUCUCUCUUCGUUUCAAAA